RNAcentral lists this transfer RNA (77 nucleotides) under Pararhodospirillum photometricum DSM 122. Its description in RNAcentral is "tRNA-Met". It matches the Rfam family "Bacterial large subunit ribosomal RNA", at positions 2306 to 2382 of the family's 2925-position model. Lineage: Bacteria; Pseudomonadati; Pseudomonadota; Alphaproteobacteria; Rhodospirillales; Rhodospirillaceae. The record is from RNAcentral.
GCGCGCGAUGGUGGGCUCAGGCCGGUCGGAAAUCGGCUGACGAGUGCAAUGGCAAAAGCCCGCCUGACUGCGAGAGC